RNAcentral lists this ribosomal RNA (460 nucleotides) under uncultured bacterium. RNAcentral describes it as "partial 16S ribosomal RNA". It matches the Rfam family "Bacterial small subunit ribosomal RNA", at positions 338 to 795 of the family's 1533-position model. The record is from RNAcentral.
CCUACGUGAGGCAGCAGUGAGGAAUAUUGGUCAAUGGACGAGAGUCUGAACCAGCCAAGUAGCGUGAAGGAUGACUGCCCUAUGGGUUGUAAACUUCUUUUAUAUGGGAAUAAAAUGUUCCACGUGUGGGAUUUUGUAUGUACCAUAUGAAUAAGGAUCGGCUAACUCCGUGCCAGCAGCCGCGGUAAUACUGAGGAUCCGAUCGUUAUCCGGAUUUCUUGGGUUUAAAGGGAGAGUAGAAGGAUUGUUAAGUCAGUUGUGAAAUUUUGCGGCUCAACCGUAAAAUUGCAGUUGAUACUGGCAGUCUUGAGUACAGUAGAGGUAGGCGGAAUUCGUGGUGUAGCGGUGAAAUGCUUAGAUAUCACGAAGAACUCCGAUUGCGAAGGCAGUUCAAUGGACUGCAACUGACACUGAGGCUCGAAAGUGUGGGUAUCAAACAGGAUUAGAUACCCGGGUAGUC